This 301-nucleotide ribosomal RNA is filed under the name uncultured bacterium. Its description in RNAcentral is "partial 16S ribosomal RNA". It matches the Rfam family "Bacterial small subunit ribosomal RNA", at positions 509 to 807 of the family's 1533-position model. The record is from RNAcentral.
CAGUCGCCGCGGGAAAACGAAGGGUGCAAGCGUUACUCGGAAUUACUGGGCGUAAAGCGUGCGUAGGUGGUGGUUUAAGUCCGUUGUGAAAGCCCUGGGCUCAACCUGGGAAUUGCAGUGGAUACUGGGUCACUAGAGUGUGGUAGAGGAUAGUGGAAUUUCCGGUGUAGCAGUGAAAUGCGUAGAGAUCGGAAGGAACAUCUGUGGCGAAGGCGACUAUCUGGGCCAACACUGACACUGAGGCACGAAAGCGUGGGGAGCAAACAGGAUUAGAGACCCCUGUAGUCCCUGUCUCUUAUAC